RNAcentral lists this ribosomal RNA (253 nucleotides) under uncultured bacterium. Its description in RNAcentral is "partial 16S ribosomal RNA". It matches the Rfam family "Bacterial small subunit ribosomal RNA", at positions 524 to 776 of the family's 1533-position model. The record is from RNAcentral.
UACGAAGGGGGCUAGCGUUGCUCGGAAUCACUGGGCGUAAAGGGUGCGUAGGCGGGUCUUUAAGUCAGGGGUGAGAUCCUGGAGCUCAACUCCAGAACUGCCUUUGAUACUGAGGAUCUUGAGUUCGGGAGAGGUGAGUGGAACUGCGAGUGUAGAGGUGAAAUGCGGAGAUAUACGCAAGAACACCAGUGGCGAAGGCGGCUCACUGGCCCGAUACUGACGCUGAGGCACGAAAGCGUGGGGAGCAAACAGG